RNAcentral lists this ribosomal RNA (564 nucleotides) under uncultured Glomeromycotina. RNAcentral's name for it is "SSU rRNA". It matches the Rfam family "Eukaryotic small subunit ribosomal RNA", at positions 548 to 1114 of the family's 1831-position model. Lineage: Eukaryota; Fungi; Glomeromycota. The record is from RNAcentral.
UUGGAGGGCAAGUCUGGUGCCAGCAGCCGCGGUAAUUCCAGCUCCAAUAGCGUAUAUUAAAGUUGUUGCAGUUAAAAAGCUCGUAGUUGAAUUUCGGGAUCAAAUUGUCGGUCGUGCCUCGGUACGCACUGGUAUUAUUGGUUCCUACCUUCUGAAGAACCGCGAUGUCAUUAAUUUGGUGUCGUGGGGAAUCAGGACUGUUACUUUGAAAAAAUUAGAGUGUUUAAAGCAGGCUUACGCUUGAAUACAUUAGCAUGGAAUAAUGAAAUAGGACGUUUGAUUCUAUUUUGUUGGUUUCUAGGAUUGACGUAAUGAUUAAUAGGGAUAGUUGGGGGCAUUAGUAUUCAAUUGUCAGAGGUGAAAUUCUUGGAUUUAUUGAAGACUAACUACUGCGGAAGCAUUUGCCAAGGAUGUUUUCAUUAAUCAAGAACGAAAGUUAGGGGAUCGAAGACGAUCAGAUACCGUCGUAGUCUUAACCAUAAACUAUGCCGACUAGGGAUCGGAUGAUGUUAAUUUUUUAAUGACUCAUUCGGCGCCUUACGGGAAACCAAAGUGUUUGGGUUC